GUAUUAUAAAAUUUGCGAUUCUCAGCUGCAUGUUUUACCAUGUCACCUACCAUGUUACCAGGCUACCUACCAUGCUAGGAAGACGUGUAUG
This is a long non-coding RNA of Melanotaenia boesemani (Boeseman's rainbowfish), 91 nucleotides long. RefSeq lists it as uncharacterized. The record is from RefSeq and is a predicted model, not a curated record. The transcript is spliced from 3 exons. NCBI's taxonomy places the organism in Eukaryota, Metazoa, Chordata, Actinopteri, Atheriniformes, Melanotaeniidae.